RNAcentral lists this ribosomal RNA (755 nucleotides) under uncultured archaeon. Its description in RNAcentral is "partial 16S rRNA". It matches the Rfam family "Archaeal small subunit ribosomal RNA", at positions 325 to 1081 of the family's 1478-position model. The record is from RNAcentral.
ACGGGGUGCAGCAGGCGCGAAAACUGGCCAAUACGCGAAAGCGUGAGCCGGUUAAUCCGAGUGAUCUCCCAUCGGAGAUCUUUUGUUAUGUUUACAACGCAUAGCGAAUAAUGAGAGGGCAAGACUGGUGCCAGCCGCCGCGGUAAAACCAGCUCUUAGAGUGGUGGGCGUGAUUAUUUGGCUUAAAGUGUGCGUAGCAGGACAGCGUAAGUCCCCCGUGAAAUGCUAGGUCUUAAGCUUAGCGCGGGCGGGGGAUACUGUGCGUCUUGGGACCGGGAUAGGUACAAGGUAUGCAUUGGGUAGGGGUGAAAUCCGAUAAUCCAAUGCAGACCACCGGUGGCGAAGGCGUUGUACUGGAACGGGUCCGACUGUGAGGCACGAAAGCUAGGGUCGCGAGCCGGAUUAGAUACCCGGGUAGUCCUAUGCUGUAAACGAUGCUCACUAAGUGUUAGGCAAUGCAAGACGUUGUCUAGUGCCGAAGGGAAACCGUUAAGUGAGCCGCCUGGGAAGUACGUUCGCAAGAAUGAAACUUAAAGGAAUUGGCGGGGGCCUACUACAAGAAGUGGAGCCUGCGGUUUAAUUGGACUCAACUCCGGGAAGCUCACCUGGGCCGUAACGUGUAUGAUUGUCCUGCUGAAGACACUGCUUGAUGCGUUACUGGAGGUGCAUGGCCAUCGUCAGUUCGUGCCGUGAGGUGUCCUGUUAAGUCAGGCAACGAACGAGAUCCCUACCGUCAAUUGCCAGCGAGACCUCAG